Molecule: long non-coding RNA, 855 nt
Organism: Puntigrus tetrazona (Sumatra barb)
Lineage: Eukaryota; Metazoa; Chordata; Actinopteri; Cypriniformes; Cyprinidae
Exons: 3
Source: RefSeq, a predicted model, not a curated record
AUUUUACCCUCCCAACCAUACGAGACAGCUAGACACUCUAAAGCCCCGGCAACAGAGACAGGGCGCUGAAGCCUAAGCCGUGAAGAGACAGUUUAGCUUGUGUCGUGCCAACUUUGCUUGAGGGUCUCGUCAGCGGAAGACUGUUAUGACCACUUGAUCCAACUUCCAGUCAUCGUGAUUAAGAGUCUUGUCGCAAAUUGAAAAGUCACGUCAAGUGUGGCAGUGACGUCUUUAAAAACAGGUGACAAGACAAGUUGCUAAAGAAAGUCAGCAGACUGAGAAAUACUGACUUGCAGCAAAAAAGUUAUACCACAAAAAUGAACCAGCCUGGAAAUCGGCAUGGAAGAAAAUGCACAGCAUAUACGUGACCCUGGACCACAAAACCAUGAGUAGCCCUACCUAAACGUAUAAGAUAAGGUGAAACUUCUAAUUCGGCUUUGCAGCAAGACAUAGCGAGUAUUUCUACAUGAUCACAUGAGUCUAAACAGGUGUGGCGAUUAUAGAGAUCCGGGGGGGGCUCCUGUCAAGGAUGCACACCAUGUUUGUGCGCACAAAUCCUUUACUUACCGCAGGCUGUCAGCCAGAAUUGUAAAGAGCUCCAUUACAAACAACCGUAAAGCUUAUGUAGUCGCCGCAACCUGUGUGGCAUCUCCAUGCAGUGAGUUAUGGUCUUUAAAUAUAUAGGAGCGACUGGAAAGGAAACAAUGCGCACUGACCUCACCUCUACCUCUCUCUGCCUCAGAGGAAGUGUAAAAGUGUGCUCACGUGUUUACACUCUAGAUGCACACCGGUGUGUUCUGCUGCUGAAACGAUGCCCCGUGACUUCAAAGCACUCCUGUCUUUUACAUUCAAGGC